Molecule: non-coding RNA, 323 nt
Organism: Lupinus albus (white lupine)
Lineage: Eukaryota; Viridiplantae; Streptophyta; Magnoliopsida; Fabales; Fabaceae
Source: the annotation of a GenBank genome assembly
UUAUGUGUGUGUCUACAUAAUGAGAAACAUGUUUUUGUUGUUGAAUUAUGAUGUUUGUCCUUAGUUUUUGUUCUAUGAUUUGCUAUACUUUUUUUAUUGUUGUUGGUGAUGUUGUCUUCCUUUUCUAGUCUAUGGUUUGGGAUUGGGAAUUUCAGGACACUAAAAAACUUGUUCCUUGGAAUUUGAUGUUUAUAAAAAGUUUUCUUUAUAUUUAUAGGUUUUGUGGUUGGACAUAGGAGCAGAGAAUUUACCUAAAUUGUUCAUUAUAUAUGUCUGUGUUUUCUGUUGGUGGAGGAGGACCUGCAACAGUGCAAAUAAGCUGA